Molecule: long non-coding RNA, 247 nt
Filed under: Olea europaea (common olive)
Lineage: Eukaryota; Viridiplantae; Streptophyta; Magnoliopsida; Lamiales; Oleaceae
Description: long non-coding RNA (OEUR_LNC002930)
Source: RNAcentral
GGAUUGCUCGUUCAAGAAACUAUUGAUGGAAACAUGUUCGGGACUCAAAAUUGGACAAGUUUCGUGUUCGGGUCGAAGGCCGAAACAAAAUGGAUCAAUGCGUUAUAAGCAGCCGAAGAAGAGAGUGGGCAGUAUAACCAUGCAGUCGCAUGACAUGAUACCGAGAAUUCAAUGGCGUAAAUUUUAUUUCGCAUGGUUCAUUUCUGGGGCGAUUUUCCUUUUUUCCGCGUUUUUCCUUAUUUUACUA